UCCAGGGUGGCUUAGUGGUUAGCGCAUUUGCCUCGUACCUCCAAGGCUGGGGUUCGAUUCCUGCCUCUACCCUGUAU
Molecule: non-coding RNA, 77 nt
Organism: Pangasianodon gigas (Mekong giant catfish)
Lineage: Eukaryota; Metazoa; Chordata; Actinopteri; Siluriformes; Pangasiidae
Source: the annotation of a GenBank genome assembly